GACGUAGGGGGCCAGCGUUGUUCGGAAUUACUGGGUGUAAAGGGUUCGUAGGCGGUGCGGCAAGUUGGGAGUGAAAUCUCUGGGCUUAACCCAGAGGCUGCUUCCAAAACUGCUGUGCUCGAGUGUGAGAGAGGCUCGUGGAAUUGCAGGUGUAGCGGUGAAAUGCGUAGAUAUCUGCAGGAACACCCGUGGCGAAAGCGGCGAGCUGGAUCACUACUGACGCUGAGGAACGAAAGCUAGGGGAGCAAACAGG
Molecule: ribosomal RNA, 253 nt
Filed under: uncultured Acidobacteriota bacterium
Lineage: Bacteria; Pseudomonadati; Acidobacteriota
Also listed under: 1 other name
Description: uncultured Acidobacteria bacterium partial 16S ribosomal RNA
Rfam family: Bacterial small subunit ribosomal RNA
Source: RNAcentral